RNAcentral lists this ribosomal RNA (512 nucleotides) under uncultured bacterium. RNAcentral describes it as "bacterial SSU rRNA". It matches the Rfam family "Bacterial small subunit ribosomal RNA", at positions 791 to 1304 of the family's 1533-position model. The record is from RNAcentral.
UAGUCCAAGCGGUAAACGAUGGGUACUAGGUGUCGGGGGUAUCGACCCCUCCGGUGCCGGAGUUAACGCAUUAAGUACCCCGCCUGGGGAGUACGGUCGCAAGAUUGAAACUCAAAGGAAUUGACGGGGGCCCGCACAAGCGGUGGAGUAUGUGGUUUAAUUCGAAGCAACGCGAAGAACCUUACCUAGGCUUGACAUGCAGGGGACAGGUGUAGAAAUACAUCCUUCUUCGGACUCCUGUACAGGUGCUGCAUGGCUGUCGUCAGCUCGUGUCGUGAAAUGUUGGGUUAAGUCCCGCAACGAGCGCAACCCUUGUCUUUAGUUGCCAUCAGGUAAUGCUGGGGACUCUAGAGAGACUGCCGGUGACAAACCGGAGGAAGGUGGGGAUGGACGUCAAGUCAGCAUGGCCCUUACGCCUAGGGCUACACACGUGCUACAAUGGUCGGUACAACGGGCAGCGAUACAGUGAUGUGGAGCGAAUCCCAAAAAGCCGGCUCAGUUCGGAUUGAAGU